UAUUACAAUGAAGAGUUUGAUCCUGGCUCAGGAUGAACGCUAGCUACAGGCUUAACACAUGCAAGUCGAGGGGCAGCAUGGUCUUAGCUUGCUAAGGCCGAUGGCGACCGGCGCACGGGUGAGUAACACGUAUCCAACCUGCCGUCUACUCUUGGACAGCCUUCUGAAAGGAAGAUUAAUACAAGAUGGCAUCAUGAGUCCGCAUGUUCACAUGAUUAAAGGUAUUCCGGUAGACGAUGGGGAUGCGUUCCAUUAGAUAGUAGGCGGGGUAACGGCCCACCUAGUCUUCGAUGGAUAGGGGUUCUGAGAGGAAGGUCCCCCACAUUGGAACUGAGACACGGUCCAAACUCCUACGGGAGGCAGCAGUGAGGAAUAUUGGUCAAUGGGCGAGAGCCUGAACCAGCCAAGUAGCGUGAAGGAUGACUGCCCUAUGGGUUGUAAACUUCUUUUAUAAAGGAAUAAAGUCGGGUAUGCAUACCCGUUUGCAUGUACUUUAUGAAUAAGGAUCGGCUAACUCCGUGCCAGCAGCCGCGGUAAUACGGAGGAUCCGAGCGUUAUCCGGAUUUAUUGGGUUUAAAGGGAGCGUAGAUGGAUGUUUAAGUCAGUUGUGAAAGUUUGCGGCUCAACCGUAAAAUUGCAGUUGAUACUGGAUAUCUUGAGUGCAGUUGAGGCAGGCGGAAUUCGUGGUGUAGCGGUGAAAUGCUUAGAUAUCACGAAGAACUCCGAUUGCGAAGGCAGCCUGCUAAGCUGCAACUGACAUUGAGGCUCGAAAGUGUGGGUAUCAAACAGGAUUAGAUACCCUGGUAGUCCACACGGUAAACGAUGAAUACUCGCUGUUUGCGAUAUACGGCAAGCGGCCAAGCGAAAGCGUUAAGUAUUCCACCUGGGGAGUACGCCGGCAACGGUGAAACUCAAAGGAAUUGACGGGGGCCCGCACAAGCGGAGGAACAUGUGGUUUAAUUCGAUGAUACGCGAGGAACCUUACCCGGGCUUAAAUUGCAGAUGAAUUACGGUGAAAGCCGUAAGCCGCAAGGCAUCUGUGAAGGUGCUGCAUGGUUGUCGUCAGCUCGUGCCGUGAGGUGUCGGCUUAAGUGCCAUAACGAGCGCAACCCUUGUUGUCAGUUACUAACAGGUUCUGCUGAGGACUCUGACAAGACUGCCAUCGUAAGAUGUGAGGAAGGUGGGGAUGACGUCAAAUCAGCACGGCCCUUACGUCCGGGGCUACACACGUGUUACAAUGGGGGGUACAGAGGGCCGCUACCACGCGAGUGGAUGCCAAUCCCAAAAACCUCUCUCAGUUCGGACUGGAGUCUGCAACCCGACUCCACGAAGCUGGAUUCGCUAGUAAUCGCGCAUCAGCCACGGCGCGGUGAAUACGUUCCCGGGCCUUGUACACACCGCCCGUCAAGCCAUGGGAGCCGGGGGUACCUGAAGUGCGUAACCGCGAGGAGCGCCCUAGGGUAAAACUGGUGACUGGGGCUAAGUCGUAACAAGGUAGCCGUACCGGAAGGUGCGGCUGGAACACCUCCUUUCU
This 1534-nucleotide ribosomal RNA is filed under the name Phocaeicola vulgatus. RNAcentral describes it as "bacterial SSU rRNA". It matches the Rfam family "Bacterial small subunit ribosomal RNA". The record is from RNAcentral. Lineage: Bacteria; Pseudomonadati; Bacteroidota; Bacteroidia; Bacteroidales; Bacteroidaceae.